Molecule: unclassified non-coding RNA, 338 nt
Filed under: soil metagenome
Description: partial contains 5.8S ribosomal RNA, internal transcribed spacer 2, and large subunit ribosomal RNA
Rfam family: 5.8S ribosomal RNA (bases 1-120)
Source: RNAcentral
GAUGAAGAACGCAGUGAAAUGCGAUAAGUAAUGUGAAUUGCAGAAUUCAGUGAAUCAUCGAAUCUUUGAACGCACAUUGCGCCCCCUGGUAUUCCGGGGGGCAUGCCUGUCUGAGCGUCAUUUCAACCCUCAAGCAACUUCUGCUUGGUGUUGGGGAUCGGCCGUCAAACGCCGCCCCCGAAAUCUAUUGGCGAUCUCGCUGUAGCUUCCUAUGCGUAGUAGUAACAUCUCGCAUCUGGAGAGCGGCGCGGUCAUGCCGUAAAACACCCAACUUCUCAGGUUGACCUCAGAUCAGGUAGGAAUACCCGCUGAACUUAAGCAUAUCAAUAAGCGGAGGA